Long non-coding RNA from Apis mellifera (honey bee), 2163 nucleotides. RefSeq lists it as uncharacterized. The record is from RefSeq and is a predicted model, not a curated record. Lineage: Eukaryota; Metazoa; Arthropoda; Insecta; Hymenoptera; Apidae. The transcript has 3 exons.
AUUACGAGAUCACGGGAUAUCUUUCGGCCGGAAUAAGCACGCACGCGCCUAAACUUGAUGCGUAAUCAAAGCGUGAUCGCUUCGUCAUGUAUUGAGGAAUACGCGACUGUUCUUUGGCAUUCUACACAUACAUGUAUAUGCGAGGACAGAAGAGGAGGAACUCUGCACGGAUUAACUGUGUGACCAGUAUGUGCCACGACACGCAGUCGGGUCGAUCGCUGGAUUCAUUAAAUUUUAUCCGACGGGUUGCAAACGUGCAGUCGAAAAAUUCGUUUGACUCUAUCUCUAUCUCUAUCGUGAACGCGAGUGAAACUGUACUUGUUAACGCGCAUGCGUCCAGUAAUAUCGUAUGCCUUCGGAGUGGUAACAUGCGUCAUGUUAUAUGACCACGUGACUAUUUUACUUUUGAAGUUGGAUAAUAUACGGUUUAUAUCGGAAUUUCUGACUAACACGGUUUAAUACAGAGCAAAACCGCGAUGAUGACUCGUUGAAAACCAUUCAGAAUUCAAGGUAGACAUUUUGGAAGGAAAGAAGCAUGCCUGGCGAAAAUGACGUUUCCAACAAUCUGCUAUAUUUUUCAUAUCAGAGCGUCGUGCCUGUAAAAAAAAAAUUUAAGAAACACGAAAUGUAACGAAACGAAAGAAUGAAUUCCUGCUGCGUUUCCUCCUAGCAAGAGAAGAACAGUAACAGACGCACAGUCUAUUACCUGAACCACCAAGCCAUAGAAUAAGUAAAGGGGAAAAAGUUGGCAUGAAAAAAAAUUCUUCCGCAUCGAGCGGCUGUUGGCCGGGUUGGCGUCCUUCCUGGAGAACGAGCAAAAAAAAAAAUUGGCCAGCCCUUUUUUUUAUACCUCCACUAUUGGCCAUUUGACCGGCAAGGAUACCGUUGCUUCGCUCCAAAGAUACCGCUAGAUUGCUUUCCUGUUAGAAAACGAGAUCAUGGCCAUCUUUCACGAUACAAGGCGUUGCAACCAUCGAUGGAAGGCUUCCUCGUUUUCCUCUCCAUGCAAAAAAAAAAAGAACUCGCAGAAAGGGUAGUAAAAGGUUUGGAAAAAAAUUGUCUUUUUUCACGAUAUAGCAUACACUUACUUUGGAUGAACUAUUUCCAGGUGUGUUAAUAUUGGAUGGAGUUUGGAAAAGAGAUGUGAAAGGAUUGAUGGAAUAUUUAUGUUGUAUCUGAUGAUUGAAGAGAUAUGAAGCUAUAGAAUAAUGUAUUGAUUGAGAGGUAGAAUGAAUCUUCUGCUGGAUAUGAAAAUUAGAAUAAUAAAUGGAACUAUAGAAUAAUGUAUUGAUUGAGAGGUAGAAUGAAUCUUCUGCUGGAUAUGAAAAUUAAAAUAAUAAAUGAAACUAUAGAAUAAUGUAUUGAUAGAGAAUGAAUCUUCUGGUGGAUAUGAAAAUUAGGAUCAAGGAUAGAUAUAUGUGGAUUAGGCGAAGAAGGAGAAUAUGAAAAAGGAGAUUAUUGAGAUAUUUCUUGUUAAUAUGGAAAUUUUAUUAUUGAUAGUGAAAAUAUCAUUGAAAUAGGCAAUGUUUUUGCGCGUAAAAGAGAGAUAUAGGUGGCAUAAUCAGAUACAAAUUUAGAUAAUAUGUGUAGGUAUACAGGAAAUUUCAAAUAAAAUGAUAUUGGCUUUCGUUAUGGCGUAUCUUGCGUUGUACAUAAGGAUAUGAGCGUUGUAAUUAAAGAAUACGUUUAUGAAAUUAUUUGCAAAUACAGCCAGUAGGCAUAAUCAAGUCUAUGUUUGUUAUUACUCGCUGUACAUUCUUGUUCAAAAGUCGCUUAAAGUAAUAUUUUGUGCGUUUGUCUCAAAAUUGUAAGAAAUUAAAAUAUACAAAAGGACGUUUAAUCUUUCCAAUAUGAUUCUGAAAUUGAUUGAUACAAAAUUGAAUGUAUCAAAAUAUGAAAAAUUUGUUGAAUGAAAUUGUGUCUUUCAAAUACAUGCAUUUUUAAGAGACUUUUGACCAAUAAUGUAUUACAAAAAAAAAUUGCAUGUGCGCGCAAAUACAUAUAUUAUAAUAUAUAUUUUUUGCUGUUGUAAAUUAUUCUUCCGCUUUGUGCAUGUGUAUGAAUAAUCAUUACAGAUAAUUAUCUUCACCUGCAGACAUAACCGUCCAACCGUUCUCAAGUGUAAUUAUUAGACUGAUAGGAUAUCUAGAAUCGAAAUUUCAA